UCACCGUCCGGAGCCGCUUGUUUACAAACAUCUCGCUGCUCGUGCGCGAGCGCAGCGGAUAUUCUGCGCAGAUUAAAAAGAAAGAGAGAAGAAAGAAGCGGAGGAUGGAGGUCGAUUUCUUUGGAGACAUCGGCUGCUGGUCAGAGAGGACAGAGGUGCACAAGGCGGCCUGCCAGGGCCAGGCCUCACAGCUGCAGCGGCUCAUUCGAAGCGGUGCGUCGGUCAACGUGGUGGCGCUGGACUCCAUCACGCCGCUGCACGAGGCCAGCCUCCAGGGACAGACGCUAUGUGUCCAGCUGCUGCUGGAAGCUGGGGCACAGGUGGAUGCGAGGAACGUGGACGGCAGCACGCCGCUGUGCGAUGCCUGUUCUUGUGGCAGUCUGGAGUGCGUGCGGCUCCUGCUGGAUCACGGCGCCAAGGCCAACCCGGCCCUCACCUCUCGCACGGCCUCCCCUCUCCACGAGGCCUGCAUGAGAGGAAACUCGGACUGUGCGACGCUGCUGAUCGCCGUGGGUGCGUGUCUGGAGUCGUACGACCUGUACCACGGGACCCCGCUGCACGUGGCGUGUGCUAACGAACACACUGACUGUGUCAAAGUGCUGCUCAACGCAGGUGCCAGGGUGAACGCUGCCAGGCUGCACGAGACGCCGCUGCACCGCGCUGCCAAAAGCAUGCGGGCGGAGAUGAUAGAGACCCUGGUGGAGUUCGGGGCCAACGUCUACGCCAGAGACCAGCAGGACAAGAAGCCUGUGGACUACACGGCGCCGGGCUCGCCCUCUGCGGCCUGCCUACGCUUUUAUGAGACCACUCCCAUGAGUCUGCAGCAGCUCAGCAGGCUGGCGGUGAGGAAGACGCUGGGCACCAGAGCUCUGCAGGUCACAGGUCAGCUGGACGUCCCCAAGCUCCUCAUCAGCUACCUCCUUUACCAGUGAGCGCCACCUGGAGGAUCGCAGCUCAAAGAAAAGCUGGACAUUCACAGACAGCAUUCUCUCAGAUACCAGUAGCACCGGAAAACCCCCUGCUGGAGUGAAGACACUGGUGGCGCUGAGGGGGGAAGAGCAGCGCUGUAGGUCCAGGUGGAUGUGAUAUGCAUGACUUAUGAUGAGGUCAGCGGCGGGGAGCCAUGGUAAGCCACAACACUCAUGGGAGUACUGUAAAUACUGAGUAGCAGUUAAAAUAGGAAAUCAGACGUGUGUGCACGCUCAGUCAGCCUUUCUCCAAAUAACUCAAAGUUGGAAGAAGAAAACCAUUGGACAUGCAGAGGAACACGGAUCAGUGACGCUGUCGCAGCAGCACUCGGAGGGACGUUCUCCAGAUGUCGCCUCGCUCCAUCUCACAUUCCUGCGAUCCAACACCGAGGCUGGCGACGGACACCGUUCCAUUCAGACAGGCAGUAUCUAUUCAUAGCUUUGUGUCUGAUGUCUCCAUGAAGUCUGCUUCUACUGUUGAUGCGGCCCAGAGAGACGUGUCGCGUCUUGGUAUUCAUAGAAGGAGAAGGAGCAGGAAGUCGUUGCCCUGAGUGCUUCAGCUUCACUAUUUGGCUGACAUGACCUGUUGCAGAGGUUUCAUAACUUGAAUAUGAUCCACGGAGGUUGAAUCAGGACGCCUGCGAACACGUUCUGAUAUUAGUUCAGGCGAGACCCAAACACAUCCACUAAAUCAAGUUCUGGCGUCGUGUCCGUAGCCUUUUCAGCCUGGUUAUCUUAAACAACAACACACAUUCCAUCUUUUACAGUGAACGUCAAUUUCUGCUGGAAUCUUAUUAAAACUGCAAUUUAGACCGUUUGAAGUCUUACAGACAAGCCAAUGGUGGAGAGGCUUGUCUCACUGUACGAAUACAUUCAUCAUUUAAUGCUGUGAUUAUAAGACAUGAGGCAAGGCAAAGUGCUGUGUAGUGUUUUUACAUGCUUUAUACAUAUGACUGCAAAUAUAUAUAUUUUUUCUUUUUCCUAAGAAAGAGUGUUUUUCUUCAGGGAUAUAUUCCAUAGCAGACCAUUUGGGGAAACGGGUCCCGUCCACCUCCACAAAGGUCAGACUGUGGUCCUGCUGUAGUGACACAUUAUUCUGGGACCCAGACGAUCUCUGGGGACUCAUUUAAAACUUGCUCUGCCAGAACAGUCUGGAUCUCCUCCAUUGGGAAGUGAUUUUCCAAGCAGCAGAAAACGUAUCUUUCAGCUUAUCUGAAAGUGGGCGGAGUUUAUACCGUGAGAGAAGCAGCUUUUGUUAACAACCACGAUGGCUGACGCUGACGAAUGAGUGUUUGACUCAUAACCCUAACCCCUCCCACAAAACGGCAACACUCGCAGUCGUGAACAACUAUGCAAUAAAAUGAGAUGUGUACAAAUAUUUAAAAAAGCAUGUGCAAAGACACGUCACGGUCCGUGACGAGACACAAACGAGAUGAAUGAUUUCAUAUUUAAUGCGAAGCAAUAGGCCGUUGAUUGGCUUUUCACAAAUAUGUCAAAGAAUAUUAAUAUGGCAUCUUUGAUGUAAGUGCUCUCAGCGCUGAGCUGCAGCUCAGCUCCGCUGCUAACAGCCGUGGAAUCAUGGCGUUACUGGUUGUGAACUCGCGUCCUGCAGAUCCACUUAAUGCUGCAACUGGACGAAAAGUCUUACAAAAGUCUGGGGCGAGAGCUCGUGAGCAGCGUCUUCAACUUGAGGCCACUGGGGCAAAAACAUUGUUGCACAAGCCGAUCCAAUUUUUCAUAAGCGUUUGGUAAUAAGACAAAGUGACUGUCAUGUGGUAAACGGGGCGAAAUAUGUCGAAGCAAAUUACCAACAGCAGAAGUGAGCGAUGAGCACAGAAAGCUGGACUCAACUCGACAUCUUUGCAGCGUACAAGUCCAACGUCCACGUGCACUUUACUGACUUCAGACUUUGUGUGACCACACACUCAAACCUCCUGUCAGCUCUCGUGUCCUGCAGCUGCGUGUUUACCGACGGAUCCCAACAAAGCCUUCGAAAGCAUCAUUCCAUGGCUGCAGGUCGGCAUCCAGACCUGCUGCAGGACGCUGGCGGGAACAUGCGGCUCGUCCCAGCAGCCCAUAAACAUGCCAAGAUGUGGAAGUUCGUUUGAUCAGAACAUAAAUCCCUAUAAACAACCCAUCCGUCAUUUCAUGAAACCCGCACUAUUAAUUCGUCGGUUAAAAAAACAAAAGACAUUUGCCGACUGUUCAGCUCUCCUCCUUCCUUUUAAGAGCAUUGUAAGAUGUUUGACCCCGAUACGGAUGGGACUUGUACUUAACGGCUUAAAAUAACCACUGCAGAACAUGCUGGCUCUCUAAACGCUGGUCUGCAGAAGGGACUGGAACCGGCCUGCAGGCCACGUCCACUCAUCUGGGAUGGAAAAUGUCUCCUGCUCCUCAACAGGAAUGUUGAAGUUCAGGGGAAGUGGCCGGUUUGAUCCGCUCUGAUGUACGGAGCGCUCGCAUUAAUGUGUUGACGAUGCCGUGGGGAAACAAAGCUGUUGAAUCAUCCCACAGAAUGUGUCACAAAUGUUUUAAAACUGUACAGAAUGUUGAUUUAUUGAAUAAAUUGCACUGUGACUCUACGUUUUCGCAGGAAUCGG
Scophthalmus maximus (turbot) is the source of this 3568-nucleotide RNA transcript. It is a transcript of the gene named ankyrin repeat and SOCS box protein 13, with no coding region annotated. NCBI's taxonomy places the organism in Eukaryota, Metazoa, Chordata, Actinopteri, Pleuronectiformes, Scophthalmidae. The record is from RefSeq and is a predicted model, not a curated record. The transcript has 7 exons.